This 465-nucleotide ribosomal RNA is filed under the name uncultured bacterium. RNAcentral's name for it is "partial 16S ribosomal RNA". It matches the Rfam family "Bacterial small subunit ribosomal RNA", at positions 338 to 795 of the family's 1533-position model. The record is from RNAcentral.
CCUACGGGUGGCAGCAGUGGGGAAUAUUGCGCAAUGGGCGAAAGCCUGACGCAGCGACGCCGCGUGAGGGAUGAAGGUCUUCGGAUCGUAAACCACUGUCAGCAGGGAGGAACGGACAAAGUGCUAAACAGCAGUGAAUUGACGGUACCUGCAAAGGAAGCACCGGCUAACUCCGUGCCAGCAGCCGCGGUAAUACGGAGGGUGCGAGCGUUAAUCGGAAUUACUGGGCGUAAAGCGCUCGCAGGCGGUAUGUCAAGUCAAGGGUGAAAUCCCCGGGCUCAACGUGGGAACUGCCUUUGAAACUGGCAAACUGGAGUGUUGGAGAGGAUAGUGGAAUUCCAGGUGUAGGAGUGAAAUCCGUAGAGAUCUGGAGGAAUAUCAGUGGCGAAGGCGACUAUCUGGCACAAAACUGACGCUGAGGUGCGAAAGCGUGGGGAGCAAACAGGAUUAGAUACCCUUGUAGUC